UACGUAGGUGGCAGGCGUUGUUCGGAAUUAUUGGGCGUAAAGAGCUCGUAGGCGGUCUGUCACGUCGGAUGUGAAAAUCCAGGGCUUAACCCUGGACCUGCAUUCGAUACGGGCAGACUAGAGUUCGGUAGGGGAGACUGGAAUUCCUGGUGUAGCGGUGAAAUGCGCAGAUAUCAGGAGGAACACCGGUGGCGAAGGCGGGUCUCUGGGCCGAUACUGACGCUGAGGAGCGAAAGCGUGGGGAGCGAACAGG
RNAcentral lists this ribosomal RNA (253 nucleotides) under uncultured bacterium. RNAcentral describes it as "partial 16S ribosomal RNA". It matches the Rfam family "Bacterial small subunit ribosomal RNA", at positions 524 to 776 of the family's 1533-position model. The record is from RNAcentral.